This 253-nucleotide ribosomal RNA is filed under the name uncultured bacterium. Its description in RNAcentral is "partial 16S ribosomal RNA". It matches the Rfam family "Bacterial small subunit ribosomal RNA", at positions 524 to 776 of the family's 1533-position model. The record is from RNAcentral.
UACGUAGGGGGCUAGCGUUGUCCGGAAUCAUUGGGCGUAAAGCGCGUGUAGGCGGUCCGGUAAGUCCGCUGUGAAAGUCGAGGGCUCAACCCUCGAAUGCCGGUGGAUACUGGCGGGCUUGAGUACGGGAGAGGCGAGUGGAAUUCCUGGUGUAGCGGUGAAAUGCGCAGAUAUCAGGAGGAACACCGAUUGCGAAGGCAGCUCGCUGGAACGUUACUGACGCUGAGACGCGAAAGCGUGGGGAGCAAACAGG